UACGGGGGGAGCAAGCGUUGUUCGGAUUUACUGGGCGUAAAGGGCGCGUAGGCGGCCACCGCAAGUCAGUUGUGAAAUCUCCGGGCUUAACCCGGAAAGGUCAACUGAUACUGCGGGGCUAGAGUGCAGAAGGGGCAACUGGAAUUCUCGGUGUAGCGGUGAAAUGCGUAGAUAUCGAGAGGAACACCUGCGGCGAAGGCGGGUUGCUGGGCUGACACUGACGCUGAGGCGCGAAAGCUAGGGGAGCGAACGGG
Molecule: ribosomal RNA, 254 nt
Filed under: uncultured bacterium
Lineage: Bacteria
Description: partial 16S ribosomal RNA
Rfam family: Bacterial small subunit ribosomal RNA
Source: RNAcentral